This 465-nucleotide ribosomal RNA is filed under the name uncultured bacterium. RNAcentral describes it as "partial 16S ribosomal RNA". It matches the Rfam family "Bacterial small subunit ribosomal RNA", at positions 28 to 507 of the family's 1533-position model. The record is from RNAcentral.
GACGAACGCUGGCGGCGUGCUUAACACAUGCAAGUCGUACGGUAAGGCCCUUUCUGGGGUACACGAGUGGCGAACGGGUGAGUAACACGUGAGUAACCUGCCCACAACUUUGGGAUAACGCUAGGAAACUGGUGCUAAUACUGGAUAUGUGCUCCUGCUGCAUGGUGGGGGUUGGAAAGCUCCGGCGGUUGUGGAUGGACUCGCGGCCUAUCAGCUUGUUGGUGGGGUAGUGGCCUACCAAGGCGGCGACGGGUAGCCGGCCUGAGAGGGUGACCGGCCACAUUGGGACUGAGAUACGGCCCAGACUCCUACGGGAGGCAGCAGUGGGGAAUAUUGCACAAUGGGCGCAAGCCUGAUGCAGCAACGCCGCGUGCGGGAUGACGGCCUUCGGGUUGUAAACCGCUUUCAGCAGGGACGAAGCUUUUUGUGACGGUACCUGCAGAAGAAGCACCGGCUAACUACGUG